ACUACACAGCUGGCAGCCUCUGCCAUUGCAGUAAGUAUAUGCGACAGGGUAAAAAGGGUUAAUGUGGUGAGGACAAAGGACUGCAGAGGCCUGGCUAGGAGGGUCCAGAUGCUUAAUAAUACUUUGUAUAGAAGUUUGAAGGUUGCGAGAAGGCCUUUUCAAGGCUUGAAAAUCUCAAGAUCCACUUGCGGAGCCACACAGGCGAGAAGCCGUAUUUGUGCCAGCAUCCGGGUUGUCAGAAGGCCUUCAGUAACUCCAGUGACCGCGCCAAACACCAGCGGACGCAUCUGGACACCGUUUCUUCUGAAAAAUACCCAGUUUUUUUCUGGACUUUCUACAGCUUCUUUACCUGAACCCUUAAAGAAUAUGUGUUUACUAGUUUCUGACAGUACCAAAGAUUAUUCUCAGGGAAACAUAACUAAACCUUAUGCUUGUCAAAUUCCAGGAUGUACCAAACGCUACACAGACCCAAGUUCCCUAAGAAAGCAUGUGAAGGCACAUUCUUCCAAAGAGCAACAAGCAAGGAAAAAG
This 531-nucleotide long non-coding RNA is filed under the name Homo sapiens (human). RNAcentral's name for it is "non-protein coding lnc-RFX3-5:1". Lineage: Eukaryota; Metazoa; Chordata; Mammalia; Primates; Hominidae. The record is from RNAcentral.